Molecule: ribosomal RNA, 276 nt
Filed under: Clostridium sp.
Lineage: Bacteria; Bacillati; Bacillota; Clostridia; Eubacteriales; Clostridiaceae
Description: partial 16S ribosomal RNA
Rfam family: Bacterial small subunit ribosomal RNA
Source: RNAcentral
AUUGAACGCUGGCGGCAGGCCUAACACAUGCAAGUCGAGCGGUAACAUUUCAAAAGCUUGCUUUUGAAGAUGACGAGCGGCGGACGGGUGAGUAACACGUGGGUAACCUGCCUCAGAGUGGGGGAUAGCCUUUCGAAAGGAAGAUUAAUACCGCAUAAGCUUGUAGCAUCGCAUGGUGCAGCAAGAAAAGGAGCAAUCCGCUCUGAGAUGGACCCCGCGGCGCAUUAGCUAGUUGGUGAGGUAACGGCUCACCAAGGCCACGAUGCGUAGCCGACC